Long non-coding RNA from Cervus elaphus (red deer), 826 nucleotides. RefSeq lists it as uncharacterized. The transcript has 3 exons. The record is from RefSeq and is a predicted model, not a curated record. Lineage: Eukaryota; Metazoa; Chordata; Mammalia; Artiodactyla; Cervidae.
AGCCUCAGGUGGCAGAAGUAUUGGAGCUUCAGCUUCAGCGUCAAUCCUCUUUUUUUAAGAGGCUGAAGGAGAAGAAGCCAACCCCAUGAGGAGAACCAUCCAGACAUCUUCAAGGAUCAAAGGGAAAACUCAAGACACUUCUUGGAAGUGGAUCCUGCCGCCCUGGUGCCUGGCCCCUAUCUCUGUUUCCAGUCCUAGCCAAACUCAAGUCCUGGAUGGACCAUGAUCUAAUGGGCCUGGGUUCAUCACCUGCUUCUCUUCCCAGCCACUGAGCCUGGGAAAGGAACCUGAGGCAGUUCUCCUGAACAACAAGGGCCUGGUGCCUGUUGGGAACCACGCUAUGGCCUGGCCUCCCAGUGCCAGCAACCAAGCCUCAUCUUCUACUGUGAUGCUGCCUGAAUCCCCUGGAUCUACAGUUUGAGGACUCACAGCCCUUCACGGCAGCGCUGGGCCAGCCCACUUAGUGCAAGCGUAGCCACUUCCAGCCCUAUUUUCCUGAUGUCAUUGGGGCCAAGGUGUGGUCCGUUAUUAGCAGGGCAGAGUCCCUGCUCUGCUUCUUACUUGCUGUGCAAACACAGGGGUUCCUUUCUCUACAUUUUUUCUCUGUUCCCCUCUCUUUUUUUUCUAAUAUUGUUUUUCAAUUGGAGGAUAAUUGCUUUACAAUGUUGUGUUUUCUGCUGUGCAACAACAUGAAUCAGUCAUAAUGAUAUAUAUAUACCUGUAUAUAUCCCCUCCCUCUGACAUCUCCCUCCCCUCUGUUCCCCUGUCUGUGAUGAUAGUCUGGAGCCAGUUUAUGACUGGGAUUCAGGAAUCACCUGUAAAGAAA